RNAcentral lists this long non-coding RNA (543 nucleotides) under Chelydra serpentina (North American snapping turtle). Its description in RNAcentral is "lncRNA (ENSCSRG00000001203.1)". Lineage: Eukaryota; Metazoa; Chordata; Testudines; Chelydridae. The record is from RNAcentral.
UUUCAACUGAUCUCUUUCUCCUUCCAACAGUCAUAGAUAAUGCGGAUGGCUCACGUUACACUGAUGGCGUGAAACACACUGACCCAACUCCGGUUACAGAUGAUCAUGUGGGUAGUGGUUCAAUACAUGACGGAGAUACAAUGAACCCCACCAUCAUCAGAACUCACACGCCUGGCACCCCAUAUUAUGAAGAGACAACCCCAGAUGCACUGUCAACAGAUUAUUCUUCUGGGUCGGGCAAAAAGGAAUAUCAUCCCACAAGUACCAAUCUCAGCUCACAUGAUGAUGGUGCAGAUGGUGAAGACUCAACACAGGAUCCCUUAAUACCAGUAAUUUCCCUCGGAGGGGACAACAGUGAUGACAAGGAACAGCACCCUCCAAGUAGCACUGCGAACCCGCAUCAUGGUGCACAUGAGGAAACCUCCACCCAACAUGAGGGGAAUCCGUCCCCUGACAUUUGGUGGUGGUCCAGUACAGAUCACAAGGAGAAGCAUCCAACCACAGCAACUAAGGGUAAAUAAUAUGUCUUUUUAACUACUUGAG